AUUGAACGCUGGCGGAAUGCUUUACACAUGCAAGUCGAACGGCAGCACGGGUGCUUGCACCUGGUGGCGAGUGGCGAACGGGUGAGUAACAUAUCGGAACGUGCCCAGUAAUGGGGGAUAACUAACCGAAAGGUUGGCUAAUACCGCAUACGCCCUGAGGGGGAAAGCGGGGGAUCGAAAGACCUCGCGUUAUUGGAGCGGCCGAUAUCUGAUUAGCUAGUUGGUGGGGUAAAGGCCCACCAAGGCGACGAUCAGUAGCUGGUCUGAGAGGAUGAUCAGCCAAGCUGGGACUGAGACACGGCCCAGACUCCUACGGGAGGCAGCAGUGGGGAAUUGUGGACAAUGGGGGAAACCCUGAUCCAGCCAUUCCGCGUGAGUGAAGAAGGCCUUCGGGUUGUAAAGCUCUUUCGGCAGGAAAGAAAUGGCUCUGGUUAAUACCUGGGGUCGAUGACGGUACCGGAAGAAUAAGGACCGGCUAACUACGUGCCAGCAGCCGCCGUAA
Molecule: ribosomal RNA, 502 nt
Filed under: uncultured bacterium
Lineage: Bacteria
Description: partial 16S ribosomal RNA
Rfam family: Bacterial small subunit ribosomal RNA
Source: RNAcentral